GCGGGUAUGGCGAAAUUGGUAGACGCACCUGGUUUAGGUCCAGACGGGAGCAAUCCUGUGUCAGUUCGAGUCUGACUACCCGCACCA
This 87-nucleotide transfer RNA is filed under the name Burkholderia vietnamiensis. RNAcentral describes it as "tRNA-Leu". It matches the Rfam family "tRNA". From Rfam's summary of the family: Transfer RNA (tRNA) molecules are approximately 80 nucleotides in length. Their secondary structure includes four short double-helical elements and three loops (D, anti-codon, and T loops). The record is from RNAcentral. Lineage: Bacteria; Pseudomonadati; Pseudomonadota; Betaproteobacteria; Burkholderiales; Burkholderiaceae. RNAcentral also lists the same sequence under 1 other name.